Molecule: non-coding RNA, 75 nt
Organism: Ilex paraguariensis (yerba mate)
Lineage: Eukaryota; Viridiplantae; Streptophyta; Magnoliopsida; Aquifoliales; Aquifoliaceae
Source: the annotation of a GenBank genome assembly
UUGGAUAUGAUUGAAUGGGGAAAUCUUUCUUUGUCAAGGAGAAGAUGCGGGUUUGAUUCCCGUUAUCCGGCCAAA